Molecule: long non-coding RNA, 859 nt
Filed under: Homo sapiens (human)
Lineage: Eukaryota; Metazoa; Chordata; Mammalia; Primates; Hominidae
Description: HSALNT0098267
Source: RNAcentral
GACGAAAUCUCACUAUGUUGCCCAGGCUUGUCUUGAAAUUCUGGGCUCAAAUGAUCCUCUUGCCUCAGCCUCCCAAGAUGUUGGGAUUACAAGCAUUAGCUGCUGCACCUGACCUCCUUUUUUUUUUUUUAACUGGAAAUCAGGAACUAAGACAUUUGCACACCAAUGUUCACAGCAACACUCUUCACAAAAACCAAAAGAUUCGGGGGCACGUGUGCAGGUUUGUUAUGUGAGUAUAUUGCAUGGUGCUAAGGUUUGGGUUUCUAAUGAUCCCGUAGCCCAAGCAGUGAACAUUGCACUCAAUAGACAGUUUUUCAACCUUUUCCCUCUCCCUUCCUCUCACUUUUGGAGCCCCCAGUCUUCAUUGUUCCCAUCUUUGUGUCCAGCUGCACCCAAUGCUUAGCUCUCACUUAUAAGUAGAACAUGUGGCAUUUGGUUUUCUAACUCUCUUCCCUCUACCAUUCCCCUCAAUUUUAAUAUAGUGGAACUGAAAAAAAAUUGCAAAAGAGCAACUGGCAGCCCCAAGUGUGUUGGAGGGUAUUCCUGCCUUUUCUGAUCUGCCUGCUCUCCUGGAGGGGUUGGGGCGGGCCGGGGGGGGGCGCUGGUUAUGAAUUAACUGGGCACAUAUAAAGCCAAUGAUACCAGAAAAGUUGCAAUUGCAGCAAACACCUCCCACCACAUACCUGCCAGGACUAACUUCAAAAGGCUGCAUAUUGGGAGGCCAAAGUGGGCGGAUCACGAGGUCAGGAGAUCGAGACCAUCCUGGCUAACACAGUGAAACCCCGUCUCUACUAAAAAUACAAAAAAUUAGCCGGGUGUGGUGGCGGGAGCCUGUACUCCUAGCUACUCGGGAGGCUGA